UGGCUCAGAACGAACGCUGGCGGCGUGCGUAACACAUGCAAGUCGGACGCGCGUGGGGAGACCCAUGGCGCGUGGCGGACGGGUGAGGAACACGUGAGGAACCUGGCCUUUAGUGGGGGACAACCUGCAGAAAUGCGGGCUAAUCCCGCAUACGGCUCACUAGGGAGGGCUAGUGAGAGAAAGCCGAGAGGCGCUGAAGGAGGGGCUUGCGGCCGAUUAGCUAGUUGGUGUGGUAAGAGCGCACCAAGGCGAGGAUAGGUAGCUGGUCUGAGAGGACGAGCAGCCACACUGGGAUUUUUCUCGGCCCAGAGGACUACGGGAGGCAGCA
RNAcentral lists this ribosomal RNA (328 nucleotides) under uncultured bacterium. Its description in RNAcentral is "bacterial SSU rRNA". It matches the Rfam family "Bacterial small subunit ribosomal RNA", at positions 20 to 353 of the family's 1533-position model. The record is from RNAcentral.